Cricetulus griseus (Chinese hamster) is the source of this 698-nucleotide non-coding RNA. NCBI's taxonomy places the organism in Eukaryota, Metazoa, Chordata, Mammalia, Rodentia, Cricetidae. The record is from RefSeq and is a predicted model, not a curated record.
CUGUAGAGGCUGCUGCCACAGGCUGGCUAGGUUGCUCUGUCGCAGUAACUAUGUUUGACCAGCAGACGGCACAGGUGGCCAGUUGUGGUGGCGCAGGUGUGUUUCUAAACAGAGUUGAGCUGCGGAUGGCUAAGUUGUUCUCAAAACAAUCUGAAAAAUAUCUGAAUGACUUUUGGACUGAGUUAGAACAGAUGGAAGUGAUGAGGUAUUGUCAAAAGGUUGACAAAAAGUUUUUGCUUGUUUGAAUCACUCAGAUAAAAUGUUAUUUGCUAUUGUUUAUAGAGGGAAAGACUGAAGUGGAAUAUGUAUGCUGUAUGAAUUUCUCUACAUUUCCUUCUAAUGGAAUAAUGCUAAGAAGCUUCCUAUUUCCCAUACAAUUUCAUGUUAACAAAAAAUGCUUCUUGUUGCUAAUGAAGGAAAUUCCCAUUUUUUCCACCAUCAUCAAAUCCCGGACACUUCCUGAAGAGUAAGUUGAAGACUGAAACAACGAAGGAAAAAAUCCUAUGCUCAAGAGAAAUGACACCUCUACUCCCGUUGGAAACUUUCUUUAGCUUCAAGGCUUACUAACUUUACAGGACCUCUUUGCCCUGUGAGUGAACAAGGGAACUUUUGUGCUGUUGCUUCUUUGACCAACCUGAAAUCCUAAAACCUUUUCUUAUGUACCAGGAGUCCAAUAAAUGAAGAAUACCAGCUCUGAA